Molecule: ribosomal RNA, 253 nt
Filed under: uncultured bacterium
Lineage: Bacteria
Description: partial 16S ribosomal RNA
Rfam family: Bacterial small subunit ribosomal RNA
Source: RNAcentral
UACGGAGGGAGCUAGCGUUAUUCGGAAUUACUGGGCGUAAAGCGCACGUAGGCGGCUUUGUAAGUAAGAGGUGAAAGCCUGGUGCUCAACACCAGAACUGCCUUUUAGACUGCAUCGCUUGAAUCCAGGAGAGGUGAGUGGAAUUCCGAGUGUAGAGGUGAAAUUCGUAGAUAUUCGGAAGAACACCAGUGGCGAAGGCGGCUCACUGGACUGGUAUUGACGCUGAGGUGCGAAAGCGUGGGGAGCAGACAGG